AUUGAACGCUGGCGGCAGGCUUAACACAUGCAAGUCGAGCGGGGAUAGGGUGCUUGCACCUGAUUCCUAGCGGCGGACGGGUGAGUAAUGCUUAGGAAUCUGCCUAUUAGUGGGGGACAACGUUCCGGAAGGGACGCUAAUACCGCAUACGUCCUACGGGAGAAAGCAGGGGAUCUUCGGACCUUGCGCUAAUAGAUGAGCCUAAGUCGGAUUAGCUAGUUGGUGGGGUAAAGGCCUACCAAGGCGACGAUCUGUAGCGGGUCUGAGAGGAUGAUCCGCCACACUGGGACUGAGACACGGCCCAGACUCCUACGGGAGGCAGCAGUGGGGAAUAUUGGGCAAUGGGGGGAACCCUGAUCCAGCCAUGCCGCGUGUGUGAAGAAGGCCUUUUGGUUGUAAAGCACUUUAAGCGAGGAGGAGGCUUACCUGGUUAAUACCCGGGAUAAGUGGACGUUACUCGCAGAAUAAGCACCGGCUAACUCUGUGCCAGCCGCCGCCGUAA
RNAcentral lists this ribosomal RNA (502 nucleotides) under uncultured bacterium. Its description in RNAcentral is "partial 16S ribosomal RNA". It matches the Rfam family "Bacterial small subunit ribosomal RNA", at positions 30 to 523 of the family's 1533-position model. The record is from RNAcentral.